CCUACGGGAGGCUGCAGUGAGGAAUAUUGGUCAAUGGGAGAGAUCCUGAACCAGCCAAGCCGCGUGAGGGAAGACGGCCCUAUGGGUUGUAAACCUCUUUUGCCGGGGAGCAGAGGUCCGGACGUGUCCGGGCCGGGAGAGUACCCGGAGAAAAAGCAUCGGCUAACUCCGUGCCAGCAGCCGCGGUAAUACGGAGGAUGCGAGCGUUAUCCGGAUUUAUUGGGUUUAAAGGGAGCGUAGGUGGAUUGUUAAGUCAGUUGUGAAAGUUUGCGGCUCAACCGUAAAAUUGCAGUUGAAACUGGCAGUCUUGAGUACAGUAGAGGUGGGCGGAAUGCGUGGUGUAGCGGUGAAAUGCUUAGAUAUCACGAAGAACUCCGAUUGCGAAGGCAGUUCACUGGACUGCAACUGACACUGAGGCUCGAAAGUGUGGGUAUCAAACAGGAUUAGAUACCCCUGUAGUC
Molecule: ribosomal RNA, 461 nt
Filed under: uncultured bacterium
Lineage: Bacteria
Description: partial 16S ribosomal RNA
Rfam family: Bacterial small subunit ribosomal RNA
Source: RNAcentral